This 468-nucleotide ribosomal RNA is filed under the name uncultured bacterium. RNAcentral's name for it is "partial 16S ribosomal RNA". It matches the Rfam family "Bacterial small subunit ribosomal RNA", at positions 28 to 507 of the family's 1533-position model. The record is from RNAcentral.
GACGAACGCUGGCGGCGUGCUUAACACAUGCAAGUCGAACGGAAAGGCCCUGCUUUUGUGGGGUGCUCGAGUGGCGAACGGGUGAGUAAAACGUGAGUAACAUGCCCUUGACUUUGGGAUAACUUCAGGAAACAGGGGCUAAUACCGGAUAGGAGCUCCUGCUGCAUGGUGGGGGUUGGAAAGUUUCGGCGGUUGGGGAUGGACUCGCGGCUUAUCAGCUUGUUUGUGGGGUAGUGGCUUACCAAGGCUUUGACGGGUAGCCGGCCUGAGAGGGUGACCGGCCCCAUUGGGACUGAGAUACGGCCCAGACUCCUACGGGAGGCAGCAGUGGGGAGUAUUGCACAGUGGGCGGAAGCCUGAUGCAGCAACGCCGCGUGCGGGAUGACGGCCUUCUGGUUGUAAACCACUUUCGCCUGUGACGAAGCGUGAGUGACGGUAAUGGGUAAAGAAGCACCGGCUAACUACGUG